GGGGUGUAGCUCAGUUGGGAGAGCACCUGCCUUGCACGCAGGGGGUCAAGAGUUCGAAUCUCUUCAUCUCC
This 71-nucleotide transfer RNA is filed under the name Anaerococcus jeddahensis. It matches the Rfam family "tRNA". Rfam says of the family: Transfer RNA (tRNA) molecules are approximately 80 nucleotides in length. Their secondary structure includes four short double-helical elements and three loops (D, anti-codon, and T loops). RNAcentral also lists the same sequence under 1 other name. The record is from RNAcentral. Lineage: Bacteria; Bacillati; Bacillota; Tissierellia; Tissierellales; Peptoniphilaceae.